RNAcentral lists this transfer RNA (756 nucleotides) under Bradyrhizobium genosp. TUXTLAS-4. Its description in RNAcentral is "partial 16S-23S ribosomal RNA intergenic spacer". The stretch from base 183 to 256 matches the Rfam family "tRNA". Lineage: Bacteria; Pseudomonadati; Pseudomonadota; Alphaproteobacteria; Hyphomicrobiales; Nitrobacteraceae. The record is from RNAcentral.
AUGGUUCUUCAGAAGCUUGCUUCUAUCGAACCGUUUUAGAAACAUCAGUGGCCAACAGAUCGCCAGAUCGUUGAGCUGCAUUGGCGGGAUUUCGCCGUCUUCGUUUCUCUUUCUUCGCGGACGAACACGCGCUGGGGCUGCAGGCUUGCAGGAUCCCUGGUCCUUAACAGGAUAUGCGUUAGGGGCUUGUAGCUCAGUUGGUUAGAGCGCGCGCUUGAUAAGCGUGAGGUCGGAAGUUCAAGUCUUCCCAGGCCCACCACUUUCAUCGAGUGAGCAUUCGUCUUCUGGUUACGGGGCCAUAGCUCAGCUGGGAGAGCGCGUGCUUUGCAAGCAUGAGGUCGUCGGUUCGAUCCCGUCUGGCUCCACCAGAUGGUUUGAUCAUCGACUGAUCGUGCACCUGGAUCGUCCGCGAAACAUCACUUCGCACCUACUAGUCUGGAUAGACAGUAACGUGCGUGUUUUCUGACAUCGUAAAGAGGAGAUCGAUCCGAGUUGGGUCGUGCAGCAAAUUGUUGCGCGAGCCUUCAUUAUCUCCGGAUCAUUUUCGGCGCUCGCGUCCGACCGCAAGGUUGGCUGCGAGUUGUAAAAUGAUCCUUUUAGCGAAGCUUGACCGCCUCGCUAUCGGAACGAUCUUACGAAGCAAGCUGGUCUUUCUAGUCAAUGUCCGGCUGCAGAUAGCGUUCAUCGAGGGCGCGUGCCGCAAGGUAAUUCUGCAGACAACAUUCUGCCGAGUGUGUGGACAUUGAUAAUGAGAGC